UACCUUUUGCAUCAUGAUUUAGCCAGAAAAUCUCAAGCAAAGAGCACUUUAGUUUGAUUCCCCGAAACUACGUGAGCUACUCCAAGACAGCCUAACAUAGGGCAAACCCGUCUCUGUGGCAAAAGAGUGGGAAGAGCUUUGAGUAGAGGUGACAGACCUACCGAACCUAGUUAUAGCUGGUUGCCUGAGAAAUGAAUAGAAGUUCAGCCUAUCGGAUUCUUCCCUCACCUUUAUAAUUUUUACAACAACCAAAAGAAACCGAAAGAGUUAGUCAAAGGGGGUACAGCCCCUUUGACACAAGACACAACUUUUCCAGGAGGGUAAAGAUCAUACUCAAACACCAAGGUAAGAUGUUUUGGUGGGCCUAAAAGCAGCCACCCCUACAGAAUGCGUUAAAGCUCAAACAUACCUACCACCCAUAAUCCUGACAACCCUAUCUUAACCCCCUUACCCUACCAGGCCAUCCCAUGCAAACAUGGGAGUGACCAUGCUAAUAUGAGUAAUAAGAGAGCAUUAGCCUCUCUCCCUGCACAAGU
Molecule: ribosomal RNA, 536 nt
Filed under: Miichthys miiuy (Mi-iuy croaker)
Lineage: Eukaryota; Metazoa; Chordata; Actinopteri; Sciaenidae
Description: partial 16S ribosomal RNA
Rfam family: Bacterial large subunit ribosomal RNA
Source: RNAcentral